Long non-coding RNA from Triticum aestivum (bread wheat), 287 nucleotides. RefSeq lists it as uncharacterized. The transcript is spliced from 2 exons. The record is from RefSeq and is a predicted model, not a curated record. Lineage: Eukaryota; Viridiplantae; Streptophyta; Magnoliopsida; Poales; Poaceae.
GGUAGCCGCUCUUCUAGUUACUCUCUUGAGUUCAUACGUUUCACUAUCAGGCUGCAGGUUGAGUGUGUCAGUAGGUGUGCUUGAUGAGAUCUCUUUAGACUGAAAAAGGAUGUUAGGCUCCAUGUGUAAUAUUUAUGGACUUUCAAAUUUUUUGACUGUUUUGUGUAUUUUUGCUGGAGUAAUUUCUUUUUCUCCCAUACUGCUUUUCUAUUUUCAGUUUUUAGGGAUUGUUCUGUAAGAAGAUUGGGACCCUAUUUGACUGUACUGCACGGAUCAUUCCUCAUCUU